CCUACGGGCGGCUGCAGUGGGGAAUAUUGCACAAUGGGGGAAACCCUGAUGCAGCGACGCCGCGUGAGUGAAGAAGUAUUUCGGUAUGUAAAGCUCUAUUAGCAGGGAAGAAAAUGACGGUACCUGAUUAAGAAGCCCCGGCUAAUUACGUGCCAGCAGCCGUGGUAAUACGCAGGGGGCAAGCGUUAUCCGGAUUUACCGGGUGUAAAGGGAGCGUAGGCGGCAGCGUAAGUCUGAGGUGAAAUGUCGGGGCUUAACCCCGAAACUGCUUGGGAAACGGUGCAGCUAGAGUACAGGAGAGGUAAGUGGAAUUCCUGGUGUAGCGGUGAAAUGCGUAGAUAUUAGGAAGAACACCGAUGGCGAAGGCAGCUUACUGAACUGUAACUGACGUUGAGGCUCGAAAGCGUGGGGAGCAAACAGGAUUAGAUACCCUAGUAGUC
This 440-nucleotide ribosomal RNA is filed under the name uncultured bacterium. Its description in RNAcentral is "partial 16S ribosomal RNA". It matches the Rfam family "Bacterial small subunit ribosomal RNA", at positions 338 to 795 of the family's 1533-position model. The record is from RNAcentral.